RNAcentral lists this ribosomal RNA (484 nucleotides) under uncultured bacterium. Its description in RNAcentral is "partial 16S ribosomal RNA". It matches the Rfam family "Bacterial small subunit ribosomal RNA", at positions 30 to 507 of the family's 1533-position model. The record is from RNAcentral.
AUUGAACGCUGGCGGCAGGCCUAACACAUGCAAGUCGAGCGGAUGAAGGGAGCUUGCUCCCGGAUUCAGCGGCGGACGGGUGAGUAAUGCCUAGGAAUCUGCCCGGUAGUGGGGGAUAACGUCCGGAAACGGGCGCUAAUACCGCAUACGUCCUGAGGGAGAAAGUGGGGGAUCUUCGGACCUCACGCUAUCAGAUGAGCCUAGGUCGGAUUAGCUAGUUGGUGGGGUAAAGGCCUACCAAGGCGACGAUCCGUAACUGGUCUGAGAGGAUGAUCAGUCACACUGGAACUGAGACACGGUCCAGACUCCUACGGGAGGCAGCAGUGGGGAAUAUUGGACAAUGGGCGAAAGCCUGAUCCAGCCAUGCCGCGUGUGUGAAGAAGGUCUUCGGAUUGUAAAGCACUUUAAGUUGGGAGGAAGGGCAGUAAGUUAAUACCUUGCUGUUUUGACGUUACCAACAGAAUAAGCACCGGCUAACUUCGUG